GAGAAUGGGAAUUAGGUUAACCUUAUGACCAUUGAGCUCUCCUCCUUCUCCUUUCAUGAACGAUGGCGCGAGCGGCGGCCUCUCCUUACUCCCAUCUCCGAUCUGAAAUUCCGGCCACCAUAAAGAAGAAACGGAGCAAUGUCUCGUCUCUCCGGUCAAGCUCCCCUCAUCUCUCUAUUGCACAUCUCUCUUCCUCAUCAUUUCUCCGAUUGAUGAUUUCGUCUCAGCUCUCACAAUCGAUGUCGCGGCCUCGUCUUCUCCUCUGAUUCAAUAGGAGAACGCCGGUGGUUCUUCGUACUUGGUAAAGCUGAAGAAAAGAAUCGGAUAGGUGCCUCACAAAUCCAGGCCUUUUGAUAUGAUGAUGAUGAAGCUCGAUUUUCUGGAAAUGGUGGAAGAGAAGGUUGAAGAUUGGAGCAGAGAUUUAGAGUAAUGAAUUUGUGACUCUGUGAUUCUGAAAGAUGAAGGAUGAAGAGAAAGAUUGGUGAAGAUGAUUCUGUGUUUGAAUCUUGUGCAGGGUGAAGAAUUCGAUUUUUGUUCGUCAACUUUCUACAGGAUCGUCAAGAUUGUGAGAUGAAGGAUUGAAGGAUUGUGAAGUUUGAUGAUGAUGAACGUGGUGGAUUGAAGAGGUAAUGGAAGAAGGUGAAGGAGAUUGAAGUUAUGGUGGUUGUGGAGAUGAUGUAGAUGAAAUUGAAGAUUGAGUUAUCGUGGUGGUGAUUCUUGGUGGAGAAUUGGUUACAGGUUCGAUUUAUUUGUUGGUUUUGCUAUGUGCCGAGUCGGUUUAUUUGCAUUUUGAGCUUGGUUUAUUUUCGGUUGAACACUACAAAGGUAUAUUGGCAUUGGCAUGAAGUUUGAAGAUUGCAUCAAGUUUUAGACAUAGGCUUAGGGCAUUAUAAAUUUCCAUGUAAUUUGCCUCUUUGUAAACUUCUUGAAAAUUGGUAAUGUUGUAUAUCUUGAAUAAUGAAUGAACGUGUAAUUUUUAAAUGGCCUUGUACUUUGAUCUUGCCCGGGACUUUUGAAUGAUUUUUGGAUGUAAUCUCAUAAAUUUCUCUUGCAAAGAACCUUGAACAUGUCUUAUGAAUGGUUGAAAU
This is a long non-coding RNA of Vicia villosa (hairy vetch), 1088 nucleotides long. RefSeq lists it as uncharacterized. The record is from RefSeq and is a predicted model, not a curated record. Lineage: Eukaryota; Viridiplantae; Streptophyta; Magnoliopsida; Fabales; Fabaceae. The transcript has 5 exons.